AUAUAUUUUAUGUUUUCUUAAAGCUCUACUAAAUGACAGCAGAAUAAUAGAAGAAUGAACCUAGAAGGACAAAAGGGGACUGAUUGGAGAUGUCACUCAAAAAUUUUCAGUCAGGAAGUACAUGGAGCCAGUAUGGUGGCUGAUGCUUAUCACCCCUCAUGCCUCAGGAAGCUGAGGCAGAAAGACUGUUAUGAAAUUGAGGCCAAGCUGAAAUGAUCCAAAUAGCCAGUGAAUAUCCAUCAGUUCAUCCAGGUCAGCAAAGAGAAUCCCAUGGGCCAUAGAACAUGCUGGAGCUAAGAAUGCUUCUUGUGACUUCAAAAGGCUCAAAUGAAACAAGUCACUGAUGAGACUCUUUAUGGUCCACAAAUCCUAAAAUACAAUUUGGCCUUUUACCCAAAA
Peromyscus eremicus (cactus mouse) is the source of this 399-nucleotide long non-coding RNA. RefSeq lists it as uncharacterized. The record is from RefSeq and is a predicted model, not a curated record. Lineage: Eukaryota; Metazoa; Chordata; Mammalia; Rodentia; Cricetidae. The transcript has 3 exons.